Rhododendron vialii is the source of this 82-nucleotide small nucleolar RNA. RefSeq annotates it as small nucleolar RNA Z43. The record is from RefSeq and is a predicted model, not a curated record. Lineage: Eukaryota; Viridiplantae; Streptophyta; Magnoliopsida; Ericales; Ericaceae. The transcript has a single exon.
GGACUAUUGAUGACUCCAUAUUAUAGGUCUCAUUUGUUGUAAUGGCAGACCAUCCUGAUAUAUCACCACCCUAACCAAGUCU